Long non-coding RNA from Erinaceus europaeus (western European hedgehog), 614 nucleotides. RefSeq lists it as uncharacterized. The transcript is spliced from 2 exons. The record is from RefSeq and is a predicted model, not a curated record. NCBI's taxonomy places the organism in Eukaryota, Metazoa, Chordata, Mammalia, Eulipotyphla, Erinaceidae.
GAAAAGCCACAGUUUCCCCACACACAGAUGUUCCAUCCAGAACACUCUAUCCUCACAGCUCCAGAUUCUGAAAGACCUCUGAUUCUGUGAGGAGCUCUCACAGCCCCGUAGGAAAAGAACAUUUACCAACAAAAAGAGUUUCCUACUCAACCAUCUGAAGACAAGCUCUGUGGUCACCUGUGCCCAAGGCUAUGGAUCCAGACUGACACUUCAGAGUGCUGGAAAUGCCCAUGUGCUAGACGCCACCAGGUUCCAGAUGCUAGCAGGAUGCCAACCAGACUUCCCUGGACAGACAACCCCACCAAUGUCAUGGAGUUCUACUUCCCCAGAGUCCCACCCCACUAGGUAAAGAGAGAGGCAGGCUGGAAGAAUGGAUCGACCAGUCAACGCUCAUGUUCAGCAAUUACAGAAGCCAGACCUUCCACCUUCUGCAUCCCACAAUGACCUUGGGUCCUUGAUCCCAGAGGAUUAAAGAGUAGGAAAGCUGUCAGAGGAGAGAUGGAAUACAGAGUUCUGGUUGUGAGAAUUGUGUGGAGUUGUACUCCUCUUAUCCUAUGGUUUUGUCAAUUUUUCCUUUUUGUAAAUAAAUAAAUAAAAAGAAAAAGAAAGCAGAA